RNAcentral lists this ribosomal RNA (336 nucleotides) under Actinomycetota bacterium. Its description in RNAcentral is "bacterial SSU rRNA". It matches the Rfam family "Bacterial small subunit ribosomal RNA", at positions 1 to 330 of the family's 1533-position model. The record is from RNAcentral. Lineage: Bacteria; Bacillati; Actinomycetota.
UUGACGGAGAGUUUGAUCCUGGCUCAGGACGAACGCUGGCGGAGUGCUUCAUACAUGCAAGUCGAACGGACACCAUCCAGUAGCAAUACUGGUGAAGUGUUAGUGGCGAACGGGUGAGUAACACGUGAGGAACCUGCCCCGAACUCUGGGAUAACAGGCGGAAACGCCUGCUAAUACCGGAUAGCACCAGUGGACCGCAUGGUCUGCUGAUGAAAGUUUUUCGGUUCGGGAUGGUCUCGCGGCCUAUCAGCUAGUUGGUGGGGUAAUGGCCUACCAAGGCGUCGACGGGUAGCUGGUCUGAGAGGAUGAUCAGCCACACUGGGACUGAGACACGGC